UACACUCCUACGGGAGGCAGCAGUGGGGAAUUUUGGACAAUGGGCGAAAGCCUGAUCCAGCAAUGCCGCGUGUGUGAAGAAGGCCUUCGGGUUGUAAAGCACUUUUGUCCGGAAAGAAAUCCUUGGCUCUAAUACAGUCGGGGGAUGACGGUACCGGAAGAAUAAGCACCGGCUAACUACGUGCCAGCAGCCGCGGUAAUACGUAGGGUGCGAGCGUUAAUCGGAAUUACUGGGCGUAAAGCGUGCGCAGGCGGUUUGCUAAGACCGAUGUGAAAUCCCCGGGCUCAACCUGGGAACUGCAUUGGUGACUGGCAGGCUAGAGGAUGGCAGAGGGGGGUAGAAUUCCACGUGUAGCAGUGAAAUGCGUAGAGAUGUGGAGGAAUACCGAUGGCGAAGGCAGCCCCCUGGGCCAAUACUGACGCUCAUGCACGAAAGCGUGGGGAGCAAACAGGAUUAGAAACCCCUGUAGUCCCAUG
Molecule: ribosomal RNA, 476 nt
Filed under: uncultured organism
Description: partial 16S ribosomal RNA
Rfam family: Bacterial small subunit ribosomal RNA
Source: RNAcentral